Molecule: non-coding RNA, 56 nt
Filed under: Cavenderia fasciculata
Lineage: Eukaryota; Evosea; Eumycetozoa; Acytosteliales; Cavenderiaceae
Source: Rfam by way of RNAcentral
GACACCCUUCCUGCAAUCAAACAAAUUUCAAUGAUGAACUAAACCCUAGGGAUCUG